UACGAAGGGGGCUAGCGUUGCUCGGAAUUAAUGGGCGUAAAGCGCACGUAGGCGGCUCGUUAAGUCGGAGGUGAAAUCCUGGAGCUCAACUCCAGAACUGCCUUCGAUACUGAUGAGCUCGAGUUCGGGAGAGGUGAGUGGAACUGCGAGUGUAGAGGUGAAAUUCGUAGAUAUUCGCAAGAACACCAGUGGCGAAGGCGGCUCACUGGCCCGAUACUGACGCUGAGGUGCGAAAGCGUGGGGAGCAAACAGG
Molecule: ribosomal RNA, 253 nt
Filed under: uncultured bacterium
Lineage: Bacteria
Description: partial 16S ribosomal RNA
Rfam family: Bacterial small subunit ribosomal RNA
Source: RNAcentral